RNAcentral lists this ribosomal RNA (506 nucleotides) under uncultured bacterium. RNAcentral describes it as "partial 16S ribosomal RNA". It matches the Rfam family "Bacterial small subunit ribosomal RNA", at positions 29 to 523 of the family's 1533-position model. The record is from RNAcentral.
AGUGAACGCUGGCGGUAGGCCUAACACAUGCAAGUCGAACGGCAGCACAGAGGAGCUUGCUCCUUGGGUGGCGAGUGGCGGACGGGUGAGGAAUACAUCGGAAUCUACUCUGUCGUGGGGGAUAACGUAGGGAAACUUACGCUAAUACCGCAUACGACCUACGGGUGAAAGCAGGGGACCUUCGGGCCCUGCGCGAUUGAAUGAGCCGAUGUCGGAUUAGCUAGUUGGCGGGGUAAAGGCCCACCAAGGCGACGAUCCGUAGCUGGCCUGAGAGGAUGAUCAGCCACACGGGAACUGAGACACGGCCCAGACUCCUACGGGAGGCAGCAGUGGGGAAUAUUGGACAAGGGGCGCAAGCCUGAUCCAGCCAUACCGCGUGGGGGAAGAAGGCCUUCGGGUUGUAAAGCCCUUUUGUUGGGAAAGAAAUCCAGCUGGCUAAUACCCGGUUGGGAUGACGGUACCCAAAGAAUAAGCACCGGCUAACUUCGUGCCAGCCGCCGCGGUAA